Molecule: ribosomal RNA, 443 nt
Filed under: uncultured bacterium
Lineage: Bacteria
Description: partial 16S ribosomal RNA
Rfam family: Bacterial small subunit ribosomal RNA
Source: RNAcentral
CCUACGGGUGGCAGCAGUGGGGAAUAUUGCACAAUGGGGGGAACCCUGAUGCAGCAACGCCGCGUGAAGGAAGACGGUUUUCGGAUUGUAAACUUCUAUCAAUAGGGAAGAAAGAAAUGACGAUACCUAAAUAAGAAGCCCCGGCUAACUACGUGCCAGCAGCCGCGGUAAUACGUAGGGGGCAAGCGUUAUCCGGAAUUACUGGGUGUAAAGGGAGAGUAGGCGGCAAGGUAAGCGAUAUGUGAAAGCCUUAGGCUUAACCUGAGGAUUGCAUAACGAACUAUCUAGCUAGAGUACAGGAGAGGAAAGCGGAAUUCCUAGUGUAGCGGUGAAAUGCGUAGAUAUUAGGAAGAACACCGAUUGCGAAGGCAGCUUACCAAACUACGACUGACGUUGAGGCACGAAAGCGUGGGGAGCAAACAGGAUUAGAUACCCCUGUAGUC